This 439-nucleotide ribosomal RNA is filed under the name uncultured bacterium. RNAcentral's name for it is "partial 16S ribosomal RNA". It matches the Rfam family "Bacterial small subunit ribosomal RNA", at positions 338 to 795 of the family's 1533-position model. The record is from RNAcentral.
CCUACGGGUGGCAGCAGUGGGGAAUAUUGCACAAUGGGCGAAAGCCUGAUGCAGCAACGCCGCGUGAGCGAUGAAGGCCUUCGGGUCGUAAAGCUCUGUCCUCAAGGAAGAUAAUGACGGUACUUGAGGAGGAAGCCCCGGCUAACUACGUGCCAGCAGCCGCGGUAAUAUGUAGGGGGCUAGCGUUAUCCGGAAUUACUGGGCGUAAAGGGUGCGUAGGUGGUUUCUUAAGUCAGAGGUGAAGGGCUACGGCUCAACCGUAGUAAGCAUUUGAAACUGGGGAACUUGAGUGCAGGAGAGGAGGGUGGAAUUCCUGGUGUAGCGGUGAAAUGCGUAGAUAUUAGGAAGAACACCGAUUGCGAAGGCAGCUCUCUAAACUGUAACUGACACUGAGGCACGAAAGCGUGGGGAGCAAACAGGAUUAGAUACCCUUGUAGUC